Molecule: ribosomal RNA, 253 nt
Filed under: uncultured Lachnospiraceae bacterium
Lineage: Bacteria; Bacillati; Bacillota; Clostridia; Lachnospirales; Lachnospiraceae
Description: partial 16S ribosomal RNA
Rfam family: Bacterial small subunit ribosomal RNA
Source: RNAcentral
UACGUAGGGGGCAAGCGUUAUCCGGAUUUACUGGGUGUAAAGGGAGCGUAGACGGCGGAACAAGUCAGAAGUGAAAACCCGGGGCUCAACCCCGGGACUGCAUUGGAAACUGUCGCGCUCGAGUGUCGGAGAGGUAAGUGGAAUUCCUAGUGUAGCGGUGAAAUGCGUAGAUAUUAGGAGGAACACCAGUGGCGAAGGCGGCUUACUGGACGACAACUGACGCUGAGGCUCGAAAGCGUGGGGAGCAAACAGG